Non-coding RNA from Macaca mulatta (Rhesus monkey), 1193 nucleotides. The record is from RefSeq and is a predicted model, not a curated record. Lineage: Eukaryota; Metazoa; Chordata; Mammalia; Primates; Cercopithecidae.
AAGCAAAUUCUGCUAAACAUUCCCAACUGAGGAAGUAGUUAGCCAUGCCAUUAAGAAUAUGCAGAUAGAAUUUAAUCUGGGGUUAAUUAUGAAAGUUAUGGUAUCCUUGUACCUAAGGGCUUGUUUGUUUGUUUUUUUUUAUUGCUCUGAGGCAGCCGUCAAGAUAAAGGUGCCAAUCAAGGUCCAAGGGAAUGGACAGUGAACAGAAGCUUGUUGCGAGAAAAUGAAAUGAUCAGAAUCAGACUUUGACCAGAUAAACUACUGUGGAGACCAUACUUGCUAAUUUUUGCAUGCAAAAGAUCAAAGCCUCCUAACUUUUUAAGGGAACUGUGCUGCCAAAGAUAUUCCAGGCCUGGCUCAAAACACUCUUUAAUUACUCAAACACAGGCCAUCUUCAGGCCCUCAGAUUUGCACCUAGUGGGACUGGACUACAAAUGCCACACCAUCUCUAGAAAGGACACUCUCUUCCAUGUCCAUUUUCAAUGUGGUCAUGAAAGAAAAUGGACAGAGACCCAUCCUACCAGUGGAACUAAGUACUGUCAAUUUGGCUAACCAAGGAUCUCAUUUCUCUUUCAGGUAAUGAGAUACUUGAUAUUCCUGUCCAAGAGGAUGUGGUAUCUACAUAUAGGAGGAAAGACCUACGUGUACAUGUGGUGGCUGAACCAUUUGAUUGUGGCUCUUCCUGUGUUCUAGGUCUGAGAAAGAGGGUCACCUGGCAAGGGACUGGCAGCAGCCUGACAUCAACAUUCAGCAAGAAACUGAGGUCCUUGGUCCAGCAGCCCAUGGGGAACUGGAUCCUCCCAACAAUUACUGACUGCAUCCCUGACCACUAGCCACUGGACGCCAGCAGCAUUGCCCAUGCCCUCCUCCACCUUGUCAGUCCAUGGUCACCGAAACUGUCUUCAGACAUCACCAAAAAGCCCUUGGGGAUGAAAUUAUCCUUGUCUGAGAACCACUAUUCUAGUCUAUCCUGACUGAUAAGGUCAGUUCUCUCUCUUCCUCACUGUCUGUAGUUCUCUUGGCAUAAAUGAAUUAUUUUGCCCUGACUGAAUGCUGGUGAAUCCUUCUUUAGCUGCUAGUCAUACCUAAAUUCUUUCUAAUAUAGGCUUUUUACCUCUUCGAAUGGAGUUCUGAUAUAGGAACUGGAAUAAUAUGAUGCUCUCAUGUUUCGGUGUAUGACCCACAUCCAGUUA